This 253-nucleotide ribosomal RNA is filed under the name uncultured bacterium. RNAcentral describes it as "partial 16S ribosomal RNA". It matches the Rfam family "Bacterial small subunit ribosomal RNA", at positions 524 to 776 of the family's 1533-position model. The record is from RNAcentral.
UACGUAGGGUGCAAGCGUUAAUCGGAAUUACUGAGCGUAAAGCGUGCGCAGGCGGUUGUGUAAGACAGAUGUGAAAUCCCCGGGCUCAACCUGGGAACUGCAUUUGUGACUGCACGGCUCGAGUGCGGCAGAGGGGGAUGGAAUUCCGCGUGUAGCAGUGAAAUGCGUAGAUAUGCGGAGGAACACCGAUGGCGAAGGCAAUCCCCUGGGCCUGCACUGACGCUCAUGCACGAAAGCGUGGGGAGCAAACAGG